GUGUGUGUGUGUGUGUGUGUGUGUGUGUGUGUGUGUGUGUGUGUGUGUGUGUGUGUGUGUGGUUGUAGAGCUACCCAAAGAGGCCAGCAGGAACCAUAGCAGAGAGAUUCAUCAGGACACAACUGGUACCCAGCCUCAAGGGUGGGAGAAACAAUUUGUUCUUUUUUUUUUCUUCCAUUUGCAACAUUUCCUCUGCUGUUGUUCUUUGUCCGUGACAAGUGUGUGUGUAUGUGUGUGUGUGUGUGUGUGUCCUUGACAAGUGCGGGGCGCUUUAGGGGGAUUCCAUUACAGAGAUGGCGUUCCGGAAGGAUAGAUGGGAGAUGGAGGCCGUUUAGGGAGGGAGGGUUGAUGGGAGAUGGAGGCCUGCUAAAGCCCAGACUGGGUGCUCGUGUGUUGCUGCUCGUCUCCAGCAGAUGUGAGCCGUAUUGAUUUCCGCCCUCUAAGUGAUUUAGCCUAAAAUGUGAUUAAUGAGCGUCAUUAAAGGGCAUCAAUAUAUGCAUG
This is a long non-coding RNA of Clupea harengus (Atlantic herring), 501 nucleotides long. The record is from Ensembl. Lineage: Eukaryota; Metazoa; Chordata; Actinopteri; Clupeiformes; Clupeidae.